GCCCCUGUGACGAAAUUUGGUAAACGUCGCCGACUCAGACUCGGUGUUUUGCAGGUUCGAGUCCUGCCAGGGGUA
Molecule: transfer RNA, 75 nt
Filed under: Leptolyngbya valderiana BDU 20041
Lineage: Bacteria; Bacillati; Cyanobacteriota; Cyanophyceae; Leptolyngbyales; Leptolyngbyaceae
Also listed under: 1 other name
Description: tRNA-Leu
Rfam family: tRNA
About the family: Transfer RNA (tRNA) molecules are approximately 80 nucleotides in length. Their secondary structure includes four short double-helical elements and three loops (D, anti-codon, and T loops). Further hydrogen bonds mediate the characteristic L-shaped molecular structure. tRNAs have two regions of fundamental functional importance: the anti-codon, which is responsible for specific mRNA codon recognition, and the 3' end, to which the tRNAs corresponding amino acid is attached (by aminoacyl-tRNA synthetases). tRNAs cope with the degeneracy of the genetic code in two manners: having more than one tRNA (with a specific anti-codon) for a particular amino acid; and 'wobble' base-pairing, i.e. permitting non-standard base-pairing at the 3rd anti-codon position.
Source: RNAcentral